GUUACGCUAAUACCGCAUAUUCUGUGAGCAGGAAAGCAGGGGAUCGCAAGACCUUGCGCUGAUUGAGCGGCCGAUAUCAGAUUAGCUAGUUGGUGAGGUAAAGGCUCACCAAGGCGACGAUCUGUAGCGGGUCUGAGAGGAUGAUCCGCCACACUGGAACUGAGACACGGUCCAGACUCCUACGGGAGGCAGCAGUGGGGAAUUUUGGACAAUGGGCGCAAGCCUGAUCCAGCCAUGCCGCGUGAGUGAAGAAGGCCUUCGGGUUGUAAAGCUCUUUCAGCCGGGAAGAAAACGCAUGGGUUAAUACCCUGUGUGGAUGACGGUACCGGAAUAAGAAGCACCGGCUAACUACGUG
Molecule: ribosomal RNA, 355 nt
Filed under: uncultured bacterium
Lineage: Bacteria
Description: bacterial SSU rRNA
Rfam family: Bacterial small subunit ribosomal RNA
Source: RNAcentral